This is a long non-coding RNA of Oncorhynchus tshawytscha (Chinook salmon), 356 nucleotides long. NCBI's taxonomy places the organism in Eukaryota, Metazoa, Chordata, Actinopteri, Salmoniformes, Salmonidae. The record is from Ensembl.
GUGUGUGUGUUGUCUCUCUCCAGGUGUGUGUGUUGUCUCUCUCCAAGUGUGUGUGUUGUCUCUCCAGGUAUGUGUGUGUGUUGUCUCUCUCCAGGUAUGUGUGUGUUGUCUCUCUCCAGGUAUGUGUGUGUGUUGUCUCUCUCCAGGUAUGUGUGUGUGUUGUCUCUCUCCAGGUAUGUGUGUGUGUUGUCUCUCUCCAGUGUGUGUGUGUGUGUUGUCUCUCUCCAGGUAUGUGUGUGUGUUGUCUCUCUCCAGGUGUGUGUGUGUGUUGUCUCUCUCCAGGUAUGUGUGUGUGUUGUCUCUCUCCAGGUGUUCGGGCUACAGUGACGCUAGCUGAACUGCAGGAAGACUUCCUG